Molecule: long non-coding RNA, 11962 nt
Organism: Gasterosteus aculeatus aculeatus (three-spined stickleback)
Lineage: Eukaryota; Metazoa; Chordata; Actinopteri; Perciformes; Gasterosteidae
Source: Ensembl
GAGGAGGAGGAAGAGGAGGAGGAAUGGCACACGAGGUCUCGGUUUUCAGCGGAAAGUAACAGCAAGGUCCCUUAUGAAUUUACAAACUAUUGUUGAAUUAUAAAUGAGAAGCUCGCUGGGAAAACAUUGUUAAAAAGACAAAAAUGCAAUUUAACAGCUUGUUAGUGUACGCUCAGGCUGUCGGAUCAACAGAACGGAGAGAGGUUACCGUUGUGCCGGCUGGGCUGCUUUAGAGGACGAUCUGAAUAUGUCUUAGUCUGGUCAACAAUGAUACACUACUCAAAUGUUGCAGUUUCAACAAUUCUAUCUUCCUUAAACUGUUACAAAGAGGAAUGAACUAUUUAAAAUUAAUGUCUGAGAUUGGAGCAGUUGUUUGAAUAUAAAAAGCUCUUUUGAGUCAUGAUAUAAGACACUGAUAGACUGCUCCAGUGAGAGAAUCAGAGGAAAUGGAGGACAGUGUGAAAAAGGGAGGGACGUGCAUGGAAAACUGACUGAGGAAAUGCCCCAUUCAGUCAAACAAUGGACUCUGCAACAAUUCAAACAUCAGGACUUUCCCACAAAAAUAUAAUUGACUGCGGAGCAUUGAAUUAAGUAAGAAAGUUUGGCCAAGUUUACACCAUAUGAACUUUGUAUAAGGUUUCUCUACGCUUGUGUCAUCAUUCAUCAACUCAUCUUUCAUCACUGACUCUUAAAUAAGUAAUUAGAUAAGAGAAGUCGGGUCAAUUUGCCCACUCUCAUUCUCACAAUAACCAUUUCUGGGCUUUUAUCUACUCUAAGGAAAGCUCCAGACCCAAUAAAAAAAAGCCAUCAGGAUGGUGAGUAUCUAUCCAAUUAAACCACUCCUCUCCUUGCACAAGACUUCUCAUUCAUCAGGAAUGAUCCUCGCUGAUUUUGGGCUAAAGGGAAUCUUUCAGCAGAAGAGCAAUAGCUGUGAUUCUGCAUCACUGUCGGUGUUGUAGCACAUGAGGCCUUGACAUGCUUUAACCUUACAGAUCACUGCCAUUGCCUUCUUAAAGUUGCUAUAAACCAAAAUGUUGAAAAGAUAAUACUGGAGGUUGUAAGGCUGUCAAUGAUGAGCAAGCAGAGCAUGUAAGCGAUAACUUUUUAAUACAACCCCCAGAACAAGUGAGAAAAUAUAUAUAUUUUGAGUACAUAACCUCCAUGCAGUUCGUCCACUAGUCCGAAUUCUGAAGAAAACUCCACUCCCCAAUAGAAAAAAAGCAUAAGAACAGUGGUGUUGCUCCUGAAUUUUGCAGCGUCCUGAUACAAGGUGCAGUACUUAGAGAUGAGCACACAGCAUAAUGCAUGCAUACAUGCGUCAGCAGUGUUUUUGGUAUUCGCUAUGAAGUCUUUUCGACGUCUCCAGUCAUGUUCUGCCUCAAAAGUCAGAGAGACGAGUGCUCGAAAAGGAUGACUUUGGAUUGGUUGGAGAGGCUGGAGAGCCUGGAGGGCCUGAACGCUCCGAUCCGAGAGUACACAUCUGCGUCUGAGCACGCGCCCCACGACAGGUGAGGACUUGGCGGGUUGGUGUGGAUCGCGGGCAGAGCGAAGGCCAAGACGGAAGGGGUGAGGGUGAGGGUGGGAGGAUUCUGGUGCAUCGGGGGCGGCGGGAAAGGAUGUGGGGGCAGCGGCAGAGGGGGCGGAGAAUGCAGCAGUGGGGGCGGAAGUGGUUUGAUGACUGCGCAUGUCACCGUGGUAGCGGUUUGAUUGGACUCAGGUGCGGCUUCGGGGUCGGGGGCCUUCUUGUUCGCCAGGUCCUCAAACAACGCGGCGUGUCUGAGCGUGUAGGUGGCGGAGUGGUGGAAGCUGUGGUACUCCAGCGCGUUCCUCGCCCCGGCCAACCUCAGCCUGCAGGACACAACACAAGUCAGUUUUUGCCUCGUGUUCCUUCAUUCAACCCAUUUUGGCAACCAGAAGUGACACGAGGAUGGAGCUCAGUACAACCAAACACCUGACGAGUCAUUUUAUGUCAACUAAAAUGUUACAAGUUCAAAACACGCUGUGGUAGCAAACAUGUCAAUCACACAUUUGCUGCUGUAUUAAACAAUGUGUCCCAACUACACACCCAUGAAAGGUAUUCCUCUGCAAGCCAGCAAGACAUUAAUUAUUCUCUGAUUAAAGGGACAGAAAUUAGGGAAGAAAACCAACAUAGCAUGCACACACCUGUGUCUCAGCUGUAAGAGUUUGUAAAGCAUCAGCAGAAAUAAAGCUCCAACCAGGGUCACCAGAAGCACGGCCACACUCGCAUCCAAGCUCCAGCAGGACUUCCCAGCAGGUCCCGGUGAGCUGCAGCUCCUGGGGGUCUGCGGGGUCUGCAGGCGUCCCUCCAUUCCUCGCUUAGGGAUGACGAUGGCCCGGACCAAGAUGGGCCAGGAGGGUGUCCAGCAGGUUCGGGUGUCGGCUCCUGAGCGCGGCCGUCCCAGGCUGGGUAGGAACCCGUAGAGAGGAGCUGCUGGUCGCCGGAUGACCAACCGGCAUCGCUGCUGGGUUUGUUUCCGACGGGCAGGAAUGUCGUUUGUCGUGACAAACGCUCACUGAGGGUUUAAGUGUAACACAAAAAGCUCCCACUGCUUUUUCCAAUAUAAAGCGCCUAACAUUUGAGAUUGUUUUCACUCAAAACAGUAUUCUGGCUUUGAUUUCAGUUUCAUUCAAAUUUAAUGCUGUCUAUGAAGUGGAAAAAUAUAGUACAGAAAAAACAAAUACUACUUAUUAAGAUAAACAUUUCUUCAAAUUAGAAUUCAAGUAAAGUUAGCCUGAAAACGCAAAAAACUUAAAAAACUUACUUCAUUCAAAUGUGCUGGCGUACAUUCAAAACAGAAAAACUGAACACAGCAAGAGCGCUGAAAUUGAACUAAGCUGCUUUCCAUGACCAAAUACAUUCUUAAGCUCACACUAAAGGGAGGAAGCCCGUGAAAACAGCAGGAAACCGUUCACUUCCCCAACACAGUUUACAGGGACGUGAUUGGAGAGGGCUUCCUAUCGCCAUGGAUACAGGAAACAGCUCAAGGAUACACCCCCCUCCCCCUUAGGACUACAGUUGUGUGGGUCUGAACAAAACACACAUGAGAGCACACACUAACAGAUUAGUGGCGCACAAGAGAAACUUAUUAUUUCCAAAUCUUUGAGACAAGCUUUAAUCUCUGCUCUAUUAUAUCAUUGCAAAUAAUCCGUCUAUGUAAGAUGAAAAAAGCUAAUUAAGCCUUACAUCAUGUAUCAGCUUGUAGAAUUGAAGGCUUUUUUACCUGGAUAAAUCAGGGAAAAAAAACACAAAACAGCCUCUUUGGAGCUGCAGGACCACACCUACAGAUCUGACCUUCAGAUCGCGACUUUAUCUCGGGCGAAAAUACAAACAAAUUGAACAAUAGCAGGUUUAAAGCGAAAAGAAAAGGGCUGUUUCGGAGGCAGCGAUGCGGCCCACAUUAGGCCACGGCGGUGCCAGUGCAGGUCAACGGAUGCAGAGAGAUGGUUGCCGCUGUGAAAGGCUGGCUGCUAUCUGAUUGAGCCGGUAUUCAGGGGACGAAUAAAUGACACACGGGCACAGAAAGUCCAGCUCUCGAUUAUCUGUUUAAUAAGUUUGAUGGCGGGCCAAAGCCGAGAGGGAGACACUCUUAGCUCUCACUCAAUAUCCCUGUCUGGCAACCUCACAACCCUCUGAUAUUGGAGAAGAGAGUAAUAUUAAAAGAUCUGUUAUCAGCAGCACAAUUGUUGUACGGGGAGGAAGGUAAUUCGCCCAGCCAACCUGCAAGAGAGGGAUUCUGGACCUGUAUUUAUUCUUAAAAACCACAAAUAUAACAGUCAAUGUCAAUAGAGACAAGUGUAUGUGGUUGGGUCGUAAAAACAGGGGAUGGACAAAAGAAAGCAAACAUCUCUUGCCAGGAAAUUCUGGGCUGUUUUUGGGCCUCUGCUCUGAAAAUGGCAAACCCAUGAUAAAAAAGACAGAGAAAAAAAACAUGAGCGUUGGAGCACGAAUGCUGCGAUUUUUCCGGAUUGAACACAUGUGGUCGCCCCCGCGAGUCUGCGCCGCGUUUAGCGCGUUUGAGGCGACGCAAAACAUCCAGGAGUAAAGAGCCUAGUUUGUGCUUCUGCGUUUUCAGAGCGACGCAAGGAAACGCAGACGCAAGAGCCCCUUGCGUGUCCCUUUUGCGUGCCUUUUCACACCUCCUUGCCUGCGUCGACCCAUUUUUCUAGGCUUGCGUCGAAAGACUGAAAAAACGCGAGCCUCACAAAGCCUUACAAAGUCUCACUUUUCCGUUUUCAUAGCACGAUACUGCCAUUAUUAAAACGAAGAAUGUUUACGAGAGAAUUUAUCAGAUUGAAGAACUUUUGUCAGAAUAAAUGUGUAUAUAUGACUUCUACAAGCCGUCAUUGGCGGGUUGGAUUCACGGAGGGAGAUCGCCGGAAACGUUGGUUUGCCGGUCGAGAGGUGCACAAAGUUGUGGAGGAAAAUACGGGACAAAGUCUGUCCACCUCAAGCAAGCUUUGGCUUUACGCAGGCAUAAACAUUCUCAUAAUUGGAAUCCUAAUACCUCACUCAAACACACUCCCUAGCAUCACGCACUCGACCUACGAGCCAUUCCGUAUUGUAGUUACAUUUACUAUAAUCAAAAAACACCCAGGUUCAGGAGCCAACACUUUAAUUUGCAGCAGGGUGGAAGGGUCGAUAUUGCACGUCAGAGACAAGCACCCAGAUCUCCAAGCCAACAAUGCUAUUUUUUGAAUUAAUAAAGAAACUAAGCCUUUCCAGUGGUUAAUCCUGUAAUUAAUUUUUACAGAAACGUAUUUAAAAGUGUAAUCAAUACAUCACGAUUGCACAACCAGAUUUAGCCAGUUUUUCCAAAUGAAUGCUUUAUAUGUAUGCAUUAUUAUUAAUAGGGAUGCCUUUCAUGUGCAAUGAUGACAGUGCCGCUGAGAAUACACAAAAAAAGGAUGAUGGCAAUUUAGAGGAUGGCGAUGUAAUGAUGGUGAUCAGGAGGAGGAUGAUAUUGAAAAUGAGAAUUAAAAUGGUCAUUGUGAGAGUCAUAAAAAAGAGAAGGCUGAUGAGGCUGAGGAGAACGAGGAGAAUGACGCUUUAAUGUGUGGAGCUGCUGCUCCGACAGCCUGAUGGAGUCAGCGGAUGGCUGAAGUAGGAGUUCAGUGAUUGAACUUUUGUCUUUCUGUGUGUGUGACUGAAGGCUACCAGGGAGCUGCUGAGUGCUUUUUGAGUGGCUGUCCAAUAUAAACCUACACUGUUACAUAUACAAAAAGCUCACUGCAAACACCUCCAAAAGUCUUUAAGUAUAAAGGAGUGUGUGGGAGGAGGGACGGGAUAUGUAGCUUGUGAGCAUAUAAUCACAUAAAAGACCAUCUUUAGGGAUGCAUGGAAUUUUAAUCCAAUAUAAAUCAUUAAUGUGUAGUUAUACAAUUGCUUUAUGUUGUAAAAUGGGGCAUUGAGGCAUUUUUAGCCAGAUGUGACCAAUUCAUUUUAGGUACAGUUUUUUUGAAGGUAGAUCAGAAGCCGCUGAUCAAACAUCGCUUUCUGGCCUCCAAAAUAUAUUCAUCUGAUGGUGAAAGCAGUCGUGCGCCUUUGUUGUGAAGCUGCUGUGCAAACACUGGCAUUCACAGAUAGCGUGUCUAAAGUCACAAAAAACAAACUAGAUGGAUCUGCCAAGUGUACUUGAUCCAUUAAGCCUGUAUUUAACUGCAUCGUAGUUAUAUAUAUAUAUAUAUAUAUAUAUAUAUAUAUAUAUAUAUAUAUAUAUACAUAUAUAUAUUACAGUGCCUUGCGAAAGUAUUCGGCCUCCUUGAACUUUUCUACCUUUUGCCACAUUUCAGGCUUCAAACAUAAAGACAUCAAACUGUAAUUUUUUGUGAACAAUCAACAACAAGUGGGACACAAUCGUGAAGUGGAACGAAAUUUAUUGGAUAUUUCAAACUUUUUUAACAAAUAAAAAACUGAAAAAUUGGGCGUGCAAAAUUAUUCAGCCCCCUUAAGUUAAUACUUUGUAGCGCCACCUUUUGCUGCGAUUACAGCUGUAAGUCGCUUGGGGUAUGUCUAUCAGUUUUGCACAUCGAGAGACUGAAAUUUUUGCCCAUUCCUCCCUGCAAAACAGCUCGAGCUCAGUGAGGUUGGAUGGAGAGCGUUUGUGAACAGCAGUUUUCAGUUCUUUCCACAGAUUCUCGAUUGGAUUCAGGUCUGGACUUUGACUUGGCCAUUCUAACACCUGGAUAUGUUUAUUUGUGAACCAUUCCAUUGUAGAUUUUGCUUUAUGUUUUGGAUCAUUGUCUUGUUGGAAGACAAAUCUCCGUCCCAGUCUCAGGUCUCUUGCAGAUUCCAUCAGGUUUUCUUCCAGAAUGGUCCUGUAUUUGGCUCCAUCCAUCUUCCCAUCAAUUUUAACCAUCUUCCCUGUCCCUGCUGAAGAAAAGCAGGCCCAAACCAUGAUGCUGCCAUCACCAUGUUUGACAGUGGGGAUGGUGUGUUCAGGGUGAUGAGCUGUGUUGCUUUUACGCCAAACACAAUGUUUUGCAUUGUUGCCAAAAAGUUCGAUUUUGGUUUCAUCUGACCAGAGCACCUUCUUCCACAUGUUUGGUGUGUCUCCCAGGUGGCUUGUGGCAACCUUUAAACGACACUUUUUAUUGAUAUCUUUAAGAAAUGGCUUUCUUCUUGCCACUCUUCCAUAAAUGCCAGAUUUGUGCAGUAUACGACUGAUUGUUGUCCUAUGGACAGACUUUCCCACCUCAGCUGUAGAUCUCUGCAGUUCAUCCAGAGUGAUCUUCUCCACAACAGUAUCUCGGACCUGCCUGGUGUGUUCCUUGUUCUUCAUGAUGCUCUCUGCACUUUAAACAGACCUCUGAGACUAUCACAGAGCAGGUGCAUUUAUACGGAGACUAGGUGGAUUCUAUUUAUCACUAUUAGUCAUUUAGGUCAACAUUGGAUCAUUCAGAGAUCCUCACUGAAGAUCUGGAGAGAGUUUGCUGCACUGAAAGUAAAGAGGCUGAAUAAUUUUGCACGCCCAAUUUUUCAGUUUUUUAUUUGUUAAAAAAGUUUGAAAUAUCCAAUAAAUUUCGUUCCACUUCAUAAUUGUGUCCCACUUGUUGUUGAUUAUUCACAAAAAAUUACAGUUUUAUAUCUUUAUGUUUGAAGCCUGAAAUGUGGCAAAAGGUUUAAAAGUUCAAGGGGGCCGAAUACUUUCGCAAGGCACUGUAUAUAUAUAUGGCCCUUGAUAUAGCUCUGAAAUAUCAGCAGCCCAAAUGUGAUGUGUAUUAAUAAAUAAAAAGUAAAACAAUUUGCAUGAGGAUCUGAAUAUCUCUGCUCUAACGCUUUAAAGAGAGCACCCCUGAGCCAGCCUUCCAAUUAUGAAAACCAUAAGACCCAGAAAAAAGAGCUAAUAUGCUUAAGUUGUCAGAACAACUGAAAAAACAUGGCAACCUUUCCUAAGCAUGGAAAACAUGGUGAUACGUUAACAGCAGAUGUUUCCUAGAGUUAAUGUUUCUGUGUGUAAGUAAAUCAGUUCUGUCUUCAUUUUCUUGUAAUGUGGCUAACCUGUCUCAUCAUUAGCGUAUUGUGUAUGUAAUUCUAAUGCAGUAUGAAUGUCCUCUGUAUUCAAUGACAAUUUUAAUAUUUUAAAACUUAUACUACUCUUGUACCAAAAUGCUAUUCUGAUUUAUUGCCGAGCUUUAAACAGGGUUUGUUGAUUCAACAAGUAUCAACUAUAUAUUAUAUUUUAAACCAUUUGAGGUCUGUCUAGACUGUCCAGGAUGUCUAAAUGAAAUUGAUUUGACAAGACCACUUUCUUAAUCAAAGCAUACAUAGUUCUAAAGCCUAUAGCUAGAUUCAUAAUCAGGAAAACUGUGAUUUGAUUAUUUGUUCACAUCAGGUUCGAAUUUAAUAAAGUUAAUUACAUUCCUAAUUAUUAAAAAAGCCUUUUCCAAUAAUACAAAUUCUUUUUUUGUGUUGCUUCCAUGUGUCUGUUAUAUACUGGCCCACACUUUGGAGGAGCAAUUACACUACAUUUCUUUGUUGGUUAUUAAAAUUAGCUAAUUAUAUUCUAUUUAUUGCCAGCUCUGGCUUGAGCCUAUAUUAGCGCAGUGGGCUGUGCUGCAUAAAUCUACUGGACCCUUUGACAGACGCCACUGUUUUUCCACUAACCCUGAUCGAGACUGGGCCCACUGGCUUGAAAAUGCAGUUUUCCAACCUCUGUCGCUGUUGAUUUUUUGUCGAGUUGGUCCCACGUCUCCAAAGAGGCCCACUAAUUAUUUCCACAGUCCACCGAGCUGCUUAACAUUAAAAAAAAAAAGCAAAAUUAAAAACAGAAAUUUGUGGUUGUACAAGAGCUAUGUGCGGCACAUGUUGCCUGGCAACCACUAGAUCGUAUAAGAUACAGGUAUGAGAUACAACAUUCUGUGUUAAUUUGUGCACUGGGCUGGUAUUUUGUUGUUUCCCCUCAUGUGGAGUCUGCUAAGCUAUGCUACUUCUAGUUAACUCCAUAUCUACUGUAUGGACAUGACAUGACGCGGAAAAAGCAGGAUGUUGAACUGUUGCUGAUGCACUGCUAUGCAAAGUGCAGCUAAAAGAGAACAGAUUUGCUAUUCAGUUGCUGCAGAAUUUAAGUUGGCAGCAUGAUAUUUAAUAUGUGUUUAAUUAUAGAAUGAGAAUUCCAUUUCAUGCAGUGAAAACCAGUUUAUGUAAAGAACAUUCAAAGAAAAAACCUCCAUGCCAUGAAUGAUACAGCAUCAGGUUCGCCCUUCAUCGUCCAAUAAAAGUCUUCCCCUGUGAUAUACACUCAGAUUUCCGUUUUUGGGCCGCACGUCUCCUCAUCUGGCUCCCGUUCAGGAGUUGAUGGGCAGGCACGAUGAGUAUCUCACACUCCUGGAGAUCUCGGAGAUGAGCGACUGCGGCGACGGAACUCUGGACUCGCCAAGUGCGUCACGAUCGCGGCUCCUUACCGGCACCGCCCAUUUUAAAUGGAGGUUGCUAAUUGCUUAAUUGACGCGCAAAAGACUGUGAGGGGCCGUGGCCCUCAACGCCGACGCCUCGCAGUCCUCGGGUUCCUCCUCACACACACGCGUGUCCGAGCCCCCCCCCCCCCCCUCCCCGGGCCGCGCGCUGUCAGAUCAGCUUUCCACGGCAGACAGCACAAGGUCAUCAGACAACGACCCUCGGCCGGGGCUUCCCCGCGGCCGCCGAGCUGUCCGGAUUCAUUCUCAGUCAGCCGGUGUCCCGCACCCACGGCAGCCGUCAGGGUGCCACCAGUCUGAAGCCACGCAGACACGUGAAAGCGCCUCCCGACAUUUGGGGAAAUACCACCGAUUCACUGUCGUUCUGUUUCAUCGCAGAGCGAGCUGAGUGUUUGAGGGGAUCGCUUCUCUACUGCAGUUCUGCAAGUCAUUGAUGAGGUUGCUUGUUUCAUCCAAAACCCACAUUUGAUUUGCUAAAAGCAAAUAAAGCUUCAUAAGUGAUAAGCUAUUGAUCCUCUGAUCAAUUUUCAAUUGCUUACAGCUACGACCGCCAACGGAAUCAUUCAAAAAGGAGGAGAAGCUUGAAGACCUUUAACACAAACAUCACACUUGGAUGGAAGGAAGGAAGGAUGUCAUUGAUUUGGCAAAUGGGCCCAUUUUUUAAAAGUUAGAAGAGAAGAUUGAACCCAGUCUCAUAUCUCUCAGAUGAACGUGACGCUACAGCCAAGUUGCCGUUGGCUCCGUUUAGCAACUGGCCUGUAAUAUUUUAAUUUACCUGUAAGGCUGGCUAAUUGACAUACGUUAUGUAAUACCGUUACGCUAAAGUGUGGCCUACUGGCUGUGAGAGUGCUAUCGCAUCAUCUUACUUUAAGAAUAUUAAUAAAGUCUUCCAUCCAUUCACUUAUUUCAUUUUCAGCAAAUAAUCAAUUUGAGAUGAGGUCACACGAUGACGGCUGAGCAAGACAAUGAGAUGUGAUGAGGAGAAGACUAGUGGACAAGUAGUUGUGUCAAUGCAGAGAUGUGCACAACAUGCUUACACAUUAUACCCACAUGCCUCUUUAUAACCGUUUUAAUAUUUGUCAAUAUAUUAGUUGAGGGAUUUAAAAAAUAUAUUUUAACAUGAAAGAUGUCAAAAUGAACACACACAUUCAGAAACAACACACAGGGAAUGAACUGUGUCCAUAAACCGCCGGAGGACACAAUGUGAGCCGCUUAGGACUCUUGAUUGCAAUCAUUGGUGCGCUUGGGUGGAAAUUGAUGCUGCUGUUUAAUGUCUCUCCGUGUCAGACAGAAAACACUGAGGAGCACUGAAGAGGUUCCCCUUCCAAACCCUUCAACCCACACAAACGAGCCGCACGCGCACACAGACACAUGCACAGGACGGGCUGCUGAUGUCCCCAAGAGGCUGCUAUGGUCACUGCAUCCAAAGACAAGUAAAGAAAUAAAGAGGUUCAACGCAGAAUUUGAAAAAAUUAUCAGAUUUCAAAGCAUUCUUGAUAAACGAUUACCAAACAUGGAAGCAGCAGCUUAACAAAUAUAACUACGAAAAUUGAAAGUGUACACAUAUGGAGAAUUGAGCAGAAGUUUGAGGACAACUGGUUUACAUGUUAAGUUGGAUUUAUCCCCUGUGCGAACAUGCGGAAAAUGGGCAAUGGCUCCGGAUGAUUUUUUUUUAUUUAACUACUUUUCUGGUUUCACGUCUGUUUAAAACAGAUUCUGGGAUGAGGUCACUAAAUCAAUGAGAGACUCAUAGUCUGCAUGAGAUUAAUUUCCCGCACUAUUCUCCACAUCGCGUCCCUUGGAAGGCACAAGAACAAAUACAAAUAUUGUAACAGGAAUACCAGUGCUAAAGAUAAUUACGGUUUGAGUCUUUCAUAGUUUUGAAAAUAAAGACUCUCCGUUCUAUGGUGUCCAGGGAAAUCAUGUUUACCAAGCAGGGUGACCAGGAACGUGCUCCAGUCACUAAAGCUCUGUGAGCCCCUCUGUCCUCUGCACUGAGCAGCUUUCUGUACAUGUAUUUUCUUGAACUUACUUUUAAUUGAAAAGGUUUAAACAGAUUGCCUAACCAUUUAUUUUGGAGUUUAAACUGAAAGGUAUUCCAAAAUGUGACAUAUUGAUGCAGAGAUUAUUGCUGAAAAGCUGUGAAAUUUAGGAUUGGUCGCUGUGGUGGUAUUUUCUGCUUUUCAUGUCAUGUUUGCAGCCGGGUGGGCUUCCUAAGGAUUUAUGGAAGCAUGACAAAGCAUUAAAACACACUUGUACCAGUGUGAGAAUCCUUUAACAACGUUCUUACCAAAGUCUGGGUGGAUAUUUCCUACUGAUUGGAUACACGGUUUCAAUCACACCUGCCAAGUAUUUUUCUGAAAAGGUGAAUAUUGAUUUGGGAACAAUGACACGGCUUAAUAGACAGCCUGUCUUGCUGUUAAACAUAGCUAUUAUUUUUACUGUCAACGGUAUCGAAUGUUGACCUUGAUUCGUGCAGGAAUAUUGUUCAUGUCUGGCCUGUAGGGUUCGAUGAGCUCAGCUGAACUACCUCACACUAACUACACUUGGUCCUAUUUACUGGAGCAGUGAGUAUGAGCAAACCCACGGGGUUACCACGGUAACCGAGCGUCAUUUUUUGCCACAGUGAAGACUGGAUAAUACUCUUCAAGAUGGUCAGAGUUGUAGUGCACAUUUGUAAAACCCUUUUAAGAAGUUGUGUUUCUACAACUUGUUCAUCCUAUGCGAUGUGAGUGUGUGCGUCAGGAUCGGUUUUCACGCCUCGUGAUUCAAAGUGGACGCGAGUGUCAGACUUGGUUUGGCGUGAGUGUGGAGCUGAGACGUGGGUUAAAAGGCUUUCAUUAGUCUCUAACCAAAUGCUUAAUAAAUGCUUCACACUCAUUCAGCGUCGGAUCAAUCAACAUCAUAAUUUGAAAAUGUAUUUCCAUAUUUAUUCCUGGCUUCAGGACAACGGCACACUCCGUUAAAGACAAAAAAAGUGAUAUGUCAUCCGAUUUUUGCAAAGCGUGAGCAUUGUUUUUUUUAACAU